CUCAGGGAAUAUCAGAGAUCAGACUUCAGUAUCGCCAUGAAGGGUCUCCUAACACUUGAACUACAGGCCAGAAAACCUCUAAAUGAAGAUGCAGCGGCUCCAUCCUGAUCAGACUCCACACAGAGGGAAGCCUUCUCGUUCUUUCAGUGACUCUACCCGAAGCUCCGGGAUCGCAGGAAUAAGCCUGUGAUGUGGUCUUGGCAGAAGCACAGACUCGUAUAAACAGUGCCGCCUGGUUACAUCACGGUUGUUGAUACAGGAGGAAUAUUCCGAUGUCGCUGGCACACGGAGAGCCGGAGCAACAUGUAAACACCAGCGUGGCUUCAGCUGCUUCCAUCUGGAUUAACGCUUCGACAAACUGAAGUCGAAAUCAUCUGAUUCCCUGCAGGGACGGAGAGGAGCUGGAACAUGUUUGGAGGAUUCUCACCAGCUGCUCCUGAACGCUGGACGCUGAAGUCUGGUGGCAAAUCAAGAUACUAGAGCAAAGUUCACAGGGACCACCAGAAGUUCCUUCAUCUUCCAAUCAUAAAGACUCGUACAGGUGUGGCUGCAGACAUGCAAGAGGUGGAUCAGAACCAGAACUGUGAAACUGUAAAAUGUCCCUGAAAUAUAGUUUUCAGUUUUUCAGGGUGUUUUUUUUUGUUGUUGUUGGACUCAACACCAGAACAAAUGUUGACCACACACAUUUUAUUUUUACACGUAUGUUGAAACUUAACGUGUCUUUAUGUGGCAACUGUGUUUGAAUCACUGCACUUCUGGUCCGGUUAGGUUUAGCCACUUGGUUAGAUUUUGGUUUGAAAUACAAGCUUUGGCGCCAGAAAAACGACUCCGCUUUUCUUCUUCUGACUCCCAGACCAACCAGAAAAAGCUGUAAAAUGUUUCUGCCUCUUUUUCACUCGAGUGUUUCUCCUGACAGUGACUGUUUAGCUCACGGAAUAAAAAAACUUUAACAAAGUGGAUACACACCAGGGCCUGAAUCACCGGUGUAAUACAGCAGCCGGCGGCUCUGAAGUGUAUUUACAUGUGAACAUGGAGCGUUAUUUAUUUUACGGCGGGAUGGAAAUACAGCGUGGCUCGCUCUUUUUCUUCGCGCAUCCAUCAGACGCUGCUUCUUCAUUCUGCUCCCUGCUUCUCUUCCUCUGUGGUGUCUGAAGACAUUUCACAGGCCUCACUACCAAACCUGUCUCACAGCUAGUGUUUGUGUUUCGGCCAGUUCUAGUAUUUCAUGCAUGAGAAGUUUCGCCUCGGACCUUUGAAUCUGAGUUGACUGGUUUCUCAUCGUGACUUGAAGCAGCGUCUGAUGAAGCAGCACCGUCGACGGAUUACACGUCAGUGUCGUCAGCCUCGUCCGGCCUGCCUUGUUCCCAGUGUGUCCUGCAGCCCGGCAGCUCCUCUCAUAUACACUUGCUCAGAAAUCUCGGGGCAACUGAUCAAAAUGCCUCAUCAGGACAGCUUCAGUCGAGGAAAGAUUUUAAUUUCCCUCGUCAGUGUAGAAUUUAAAUGUAUGUCAGACCCUAAUAAAUCCACGGCUGAACCGCCAGGUCGGAGCGAACAAGCACUUCUUUUGAACGCUGUGAAAAAUAAAUAAAUCCCCAACGCGCUGUUGAAUCACAGCCUCAGCGAAACCGCCUCGAGAGUCAAGCGUGGCAUCAGACAUGAACAAAUGAGCAGCUGUAGUCGUGCAUCUGAUCCCCACAGACUGAUACAAAGAGUGUUUAUCAGAGAUGUGUUUGCGGGCAGCGAAGCCUCUACAGUCGAUCAGAUUACACACACGGAGGAAAAACGCGGUUUCCUGAUUUGUUUUAUCGCGGUGAUCACGCUGCAGGGGCGACUCAGAGCACCAUGAAGCUCAGUUUUCUUCAACUUGCUCAUUUUCUUGCUCCACGUCUGACUUUGUAACUUGAGUUUUAUGUCACUUUUCUGCAUCUGCGAUCUCGGAAAAAUACUUUUUCCGUCCUGAGAUAUUCACACAGGGCCUGUUUUAGGUUCAGCGCCUUGCUCAAGGGCGCUGUGCAGAGCCGGUUAGCAGGAGGGGAGGGGAGGCCGCUGCUCAUUCAUUUCUCCAGCUGGUCCUUUGGGUAACAAGCCUGCUAUUGUGACCUGCAGGCGCCUGCUGCCCUAAAUUUAAGUCAUAUGAAUAAAACGAGCCUCGGUGAGGAUCCGCAGAUAUGACUGCUGACCUCAGAGUCGAGCCCUGAGGUGCGACUCCGUGCCGGCUUCUCCAUCUGCUUCAGGGUUUCACUCAAAGAGGUCAGACUCACCAAAACCUUCUCGUACACUGUCACCACAUUAACAACACAAACCAGGAUCACUGUCGACAUUUUCGACGGAAACCGCAGACACGUUGCAACGCUACAUUUCUUUAGGUUGGAUUUUUGUGUUGUGACAGAGCUGCGCUCGUGGUUCCUUCACUACUGUAGUUUACAUCCACCAUCCUCAGUUCAGGGUCUGCAUCCU
Long non-coding RNA from Acanthopagrus latus (yellowfin seabream), 2457 nucleotides. RefSeq lists it as uncharacterized. NCBI's taxonomy places the organism in Eukaryota, Metazoa, Chordata, Actinopteri, Spariformes, Sparidae. The transcript is spliced from 3 exons. The record is from RefSeq and is a predicted model, not a curated record.